CUGGGUUGUUGUCUAUUGCUACUGACAUACUUGGAGCAUUUGGGGUCACCUCCAAUGUGUUUAUCCCUAGGCUGCCUUCAACAGGGCCAGGAGAUUUCUGUAAAUAUUUAUCUAUCCCUGUUCCCAGCUUUCAGGGCUGAUUAAAGCCCUGUCUGCAACUUAGUGGGACAAAGCUGCCUACCUUCCUAAAACCAGCAGAGAGGUGAGAAGAUGGCCCAUUAGGCAGAAGCAAAAAGAAGACAAUCCUGCCUGUCAAGUGGCUGUGUGCCGUAGGCAGGUUGCUUGGCCUCUGGGACCCUCAGAUGGGUCUGAUGUUUCAGAGAAUGGCCUGAUAUGCUUUCCUGUCUUCCUCACAGUGUAACACAGUGCUCUCUUCUCGAAAUCACCUCUUACUAACAGCAGAAAACAUAGCUGUGCUUAAUUAAACCAAUUAGAAAGCAAACUGGGGUCAAACUGGUUUCCUAGUCUGGGGUCCUCCCUUAUCUCCCCUCCACCAUUUUGUGGAUUAGAAGUUGACCAGGCACUGUCCUUGAGUCUCUAAGCUCCACCAGAAGACUGGGUCAGCCAAGAAAUUCCUUGAGUGUGUCUGAGGCUGUGGGUUGGUGGCUGUUAGAACAGAGAAGGGUGGGGCAGAGUGAGCCAAGCACCUAGCACAGGGAAGCCCAAAGGAGCUAAGAAUGAGGGAAUGCACUAGAAGCAGAAAUUUCUCAGGUAUGUGGGUUUGGGAGAUAAGCCAAGAGCUGGGGGUAGGAGUUGGAAGUACUGGAAGGGAGAAGACAUGAGUCCCGGUCUGAGACCAGCUCUUGCCUGACUUGCUUUGUGACUCUGAAAAAAAAAGACCUUGACCUCUCUGGGCUCUGUUUCAUCUUCCAAGAAAAGAGGUAAGGGCUGGUCCCCAAACUCCCCAAGGCUGUAGAUAAGGCUGCAAGUGGUCUGUGCCAACUAAUAAUACACCUUAUGCUGGAUCACAAUAGUCCUGGGAGGACAGAGAAUUUGGGGAGAACAAAUUCCCAAGUAUGGGAGGGAAGGGCCUCAGAGGCAGAGAAUGGGGCCAGAUGCUGCAGUGGAUAUUACAGAAGGAUGUCACUUAGCUCUUUGGUGCCAUCCCCCAUUUGAGGGAUGGGGAAGGCUAAAAGAAGACAGUGACUGUUUAGGGUUGUCUGACCAUGGUCUUGGUUCCUCAUGAGAGAAGGAGUGGAAGGGACAGGGUAUAUGGGGUAUAUAUAUCAAUUAUUGUCCCUCUCUUCAUGACUAGCUAUACCAGGCUUCACUGGGCAGCAGAGGAGAGAGAUUUCUAGCAUAAACUGAGCUGACAGGCUGAACUCUCAGGUUGUUAGAGGUUCUCAGGGAGGGCCGCCAUACCCUGCUAGGGUUGACAGAAAGAAUCUGUUUCUCCCCUAGAUAGGCCAAAUAGGAGCAGGUCCUUGCAGCUAGUCACACAGACUGGGGUCCACAUUUUCAGGGUGAGACCUUGGAUUUGGAUUCAUGCCCAUCUUAGAGUAGAGUGGAAGAUUCAAUGAGUAGAAGAUUCAAUGAGCCCAUAUGCAGAGUGCCUGGGAAAUAGCAAGUACUUAAUAAUUUUCCAUUUUUCUGUUACUAGGUGAGGCCAGCCAGGGUUCCUCCUCCAGGGGACAGAUGAUUCAACCCUCAAGAACAAAGCAGACAGUAAGGGAGGGGGGCCGAUUGAGAGCACAGAAGGUCCACUCCCUGCCAGCUAUUAUCUGAGCAAGCUGC
RNAcentral lists this long non-coding RNA (1734 nucleotides) under Marmota monax (woodchuck). Lineage: Eukaryota; Metazoa; Chordata; Mammalia; Rodentia; Sciuridae. The record is from RNAcentral.